Molecule: ribosomal RNA, 465 nt
Filed under: uncultured bacterium
Lineage: Bacteria
Description: partial 16S ribosomal RNA
Rfam family: Bacterial small subunit ribosomal RNA
Source: RNAcentral
CCUACGGGUGGCUGCAGUAGGGAAUCUUCCACAAUGGGCGAAAGCCUGAUGCAGCAACGUCGCGUGAGUGAAGAAUGCCUUCUGAUCGUUAAACUCCUUUUUUCAAGAAGUAAAUCCGUGCGCGUAACUGUUCUCUCUUCUACGGUCUCUAAACAGAACGCCUCGGCUAAUUACGUCCCCCCAGCUGCGGUAAUACGUCGGUGGCAAGCGUUAUCCGGAUUGAUUUGGCGUGAAGGGAACGCAUGCGGUGUUUUAAUUCUGAUGUGAAAGCGUUCGGCUUAACCGGAGUAGUGCAUUGGAAACUGGGAGACUUGAGUGCAGAAGAGGAGAGUGGAAUUCCAUGUGUAGCGGUGAAAUGCGUAGAUAUCUGGAAGAACACCAGUGGCGAAAGCAGCUCUCUAGUCUGUAACUGACGCUGAGGUUCGAAAGCGUGGGUAGCAAACAGGAUUAGAUACCCGGGUAGUC